AGUGGGACGGAUCGUCGCUUGGGGGAACCCCGAGAGGAAAGUCCGGGCUCCACAGGGCAGGACGCCGGGUAACACCCGGGAGGGGCGACCCUCUGACAGCGCCACAGAAAGCAAACCGCCCAUAUUGGGUAAGGGUGAAACGGUGGUGUAAGAGACCACCAGAUCCGGCAGCAAUGCCGGAUGCUCGGCAUACCACGUCCGGAGCAAGACCAAAUAGGGGAGGCGGCCUGCCCGGCCACAUGUCUCCCGGGUCGGUUGCUAGAGGGCACAGGCGACUGUGUCUCCAGAGGAAUGACGGUCCCGCGAUCCCUGACGGAUCGUACGACAAAACCCGGCUUACAGUUCCGCUCC
Molecule: RNase P RNA, 351 nt
Filed under: uncultured Desulfovibrio sp.
Lineage: Bacteria; Pseudomonadati; Thermodesulfobacteriota; Desulfovibrionia; Desulfovibrionales; Desulfovibrionaceae
Description: Bacterial RNase P class A
Rfam family: Bacterial RNase P class A
About the family: Ribonuclease P (RNase P) is a ubiquitous endoribonuclease, found in archaea, bacteria and eukarya as well as chloroplasts and mitochondria.
Source: RNAcentral